GAUGAACGCUAGCGGGAGGCCUAACACAUGCAAGCCGAGCGGUAUUUGUUCUUCGUAACAGAGAGAGCGGCGCACGGGUUCGUAACGCGUGUGCAACCUUCCUUUAUCUGGGUGAUAGCCUUUCGAAAGUACGAUUAAUACCCCAUAAUAUAUUUAGUGGCAUCACUUGAUAUUUAAAACUCCUGUGUAUAUAGAUGUGCACUCGCAAGAUUAGAUAGUUGGUGAGGUAACGUCUCACCAUGUCAAUGAUCUUUAGGGGGCCUGAUAGUGUGAUCCCCAACAAUGGUACUGAGACACGGACGAGACUCCGACGGGAGGCAGCAGUGAGGAAUAUUAGACAAAGGAUUAGCGCCUGAACCAGCCAUCCCGCGUGAAGGACGACGGCCCUAUGGGUUGUAAACUUCUUUUGUAUAGGGAUAAACCUACUCUCGUGAGAGUAGCUGAAGGUACUAUACGAAUAAGCACCGGCUAACUACGUG
This 479-nucleotide ribosomal RNA is filed under the name uncultured bacterium. RNAcentral describes it as "partial 16S ribosomal RNA". It matches the Rfam family "Bacterial small subunit ribosomal RNA", at positions 28 to 507 of the family's 1533-position model. The record is from RNAcentral.